Molecule: ribosomal RNA, 1103 nt
Filed under: Escherichia coli
Lineage: Bacteria; Pseudomonadati; Pseudomonadota; Gammaproteobacteria; Enterobacterales; Enterobacteriaceae
Description: partial 23S ribosomal RNA
Rfam family: Bacterial large subunit ribosomal RNA
Source: RNAcentral
CCGGCGAUUUCCGAAUGGGGAAACCCAGUGUGUUUCGACACACUAUCAUUAACUGAAUCCAUAGGUUAAUGAGGCGAACCGGGGGAACUGAAACAUCUAAGUACCCCGAGGAAAAGAAAUCAACCGAGAUUCCCCCAGUAGCGGCGAGCGAACGGGGAGGAGCCCAGAGCCUGAAUCAGUGUGUGUGUUAGUGGAAGCGUCUGGAAAGGCGCGCGAUACAGGGUGACAGCCCCGUACACAAAAAUGCACAUACUGUGAGCUCGAUGAGUAGGGCGGGACACGUGGUAUCCUGUCUGAAUAUGGGGGGACCAUCCUCCAAGGCUAAAUACUCCUGACUGACCGAUAGUGAACCAGUACCGUGAGGGAAAGGCGAAAAGAACCCCGGCGAGGGGAGUGAAAAAGAACCUGAAACCGUGUACGUACAAGCAGUGGGAGCCUCUUUUAUGGGGUGACUGCGUACCUUUUGUAUAAUGGGUCAGCGACUUAUAUUCUGUAGCAAGGUUAACCGAAUAGGGGAGCCGAAGGGAAACCGAGUCUUAACUGGGCGUUAAGUUGCAGGGUAUAGACCCGAAACCCGGUGAUCUAGCCAUGGGCAGGUUGAAGGUUGGGUAACACUAACUGGAGGACCGAACCGACUAAUGUUGAAAAAUUAGCGGAUGACUUGUGGCUGGGGGUGAAAGGCCAAUCAAACCGGGAGAUAGCUGGUUCUCCCCGAAAGCUAUUUAGGUAGCGCCUCGUGAAUUCAUCUCCGGGGGUAGAGCACUGUUUCGGCAAGGGGGUCAUCCCGACUUACCAACCCGAUGCAAACUGCGAAUACCGGAGAAUGUUAUCACGGGAGACACACGGCGGGUGCUAACGUCCGUCGUGAAGAGGGAAACAACCCAGACCGCCAGCUAAGGUCCCAAAGUCAUGGUUAAGUGGGAAACGAUGUGGGAAGGCCCAGACAGCCAGGAUGUUGGCUUAGAAGCAGCCAUCAUUUAAAGAAAGCGUAAUAGCUCACUGGUCGAGUCGGCCUGCGCGGAAGAUGUAACGGGGCUAAACCAUGCACCGAAGCUGCGGCAGCGACGCUUAUGCGUUGUUGGGUAGGGGAGCGUUCUGUAAGC